This 3666-nucleotide long non-coding RNA is filed under the name Bos grunniens (domestic yak). RNAcentral's name for it is "lncRNA (ENSBGRG00000000323.1)". The record is from RNAcentral. Lineage: Eukaryota; Metazoa; Chordata; Mammalia; Artiodactyla; Bovidae.
AUGUCAGAAAAUUUCUUGUACAUUCUAUGGGAUAUAAGUAUUGUUUUAAGCCACAUGGGCUCUUACAAACCACUGACUAUUUUUCUUUCUUUCUUUUUUUUCCCAGUGGAAUUCAGUGCGAUCUGUAAGUCGAUGUCGAAGCAGGAGUUUAAGCCCUAUCUGCCCUCGUACCCGUAUUGGUUUAGGCAUGAUAUCUCGAAGCCGGAGUCCUUCUCCAAUAAGAUGUGGAUUGCCAAGGUUUUAAACCCACCAGCCCUUUUCCUCUGCCCAGGACACUCCAAUGGCCAGCUUACCCAGCUCUCCCACCUGUCUGCUGUGCUGCCUCAGACCUCACUUAAGCUAAUGUGACAAGGCACUUCUGUGUAUCACUUCACACAGAGAGUUAAAUGUUUUGGCUUAGUGCAUUUGUAACUGCAGAUACAUUGCAUUUUAUUUUAUUUUUAUAGAUACAGAUUCCAUUAAUUUGAUAAAAACUAUUGCCUAGGUGUUUAGGAUCAUAUUCAUUUGAAGCAAAGUCCAUUAUACAGGUUCAGGAUUCUCAAUCUGAAACACAAGGCUCUUUUAUAACAACUUAAGUGAAAAACUUUUACUGUGCUAUGUCCAAAAGACAAGAAGAGUCGUUUCAAUUUGCAGAGUGAUCAUAAAUAUUGUAAUUGCUGGUUUUAGAUUUAGCUGGGAAACAACCUGGGGUGUUUUUAUUUUCUUUGGGGACUUGGAAGAGAGCCCCAGUCUCAAGUUGGGGAACUUAUAGCAUAACAGGGACGUCAGGCUACAUGUACAUGAUGAUGAUUUAGGAAAGUAUAGUUCAUUGGUUGUCUUCUAUUUUCCUACUGUGGAGUGAAGUGCCCCGUUUGGUUUAGUUCAGCACUGUUGGUUGAAGCUAUCUACUUGAGAGAGUUCUCUUGUUUCAUAAAUGUGGAGUGGUGAUUUGGGUAGGAGCUAACUUGGAGACUAUGUUAGUUACCUUGUGUUUAUCUCCUGGGAAUGUUUCUGAAUGCAGUUUUAAUGUACAUGUUAAAUAUAAAAGCUACCUGACAUUCUGACAUCUUUUACCUAUUCUGCUUAGUUGGUUAUAAACUCAGAUCUCCUAAGAACUCCAUCUGACACUGAUGGUGGGAAUGUAGACUGAUGCAGUCACUAUGGAGAACAGUAUGGAGGUUCCUUAAGAAAGUAAAAAUAGAGCUACCGGUAUAACCCAGCAAUCCCACUCUUAGGCAUCCAACCAGUGAAAAACAUGUAUUCGAAAGGACACAUGCACCCCAGUGUUCAUAGCAGCACUAUUUACAACAGCCAGGACAUGGAAGCAACCUUAGUAUACAUCAACAGAUGAAUGGGUAAAGGAGACUGGUACAUACAUUCAAUGGAAUACUACCCAGGCAUUAAAAGAAUGAAAGAAUGCCAUUUGUAGUAACACGGGUGGACCUGCAGAUUACCAUAUGCUAAGUGAGGUAAGUCAGACAGAAAGAUAAACAUUGUGUGAUAUUGCUUACACAUGGAACCUAAAAAAUGAUACAAAUGAACUUAUUUACAAAGCAGAAACAGACUCACCAGACUUACAGAACAGAUUUAUGGUUACACUGGGAGAAGGGUGGGGAGGGGGAGGGAUAGAUUAGGAGUUUGGGAUUGACUUGUACACACUGCUGUAUCUAAAAUGAAAUGUGUUUCCACUAAAAAAAUAAAGAAAGGGGCAUGCCUGAAAUGCAGAAGAGUUCUCAUUGAAUAGCUGAUUAAUACAUGACAUUUAGCUAUGCUAAACAAUUAAAAAAUAAAAUAGCACUAUUUUUGAUUUUUGCUGUGUGAAAAAUUCAAUUUAGAAAAAUGUACUAAAGAAGAAAAAGUUUUUUUUAAAUCUUAAAAAGAAAAAAAGAACUCCAUCUGACUGAAACUGAAACUCAAGGCUAAAAGCUAAGGGAACCAUUUGUAGCUUUUAAAUAGAACGUCUGUCCCUUGAUUUCUUCACUGUGAAGUACUGUUGAAGAAGUUCAAGCUCUUGAUGGAAUGAUAAGUAAUGUUGUUUUUGCUUUUUUUUUUGUCCGUUUUAAUGCUGUCUUUAAAUGCAAUCUUCGCAAACAGCAACUUUUGCCGUGUGCCUUUUAGAGAGAAGCGCCAAAUCGGUCACAGCUCAGUUUGCGUAAGUUCAGCCAGAACCAGCAGCUGGGGCUAUUUAGGUGAAAACAAAUAAAACAAAACGAAAACCCCCUCAGAUAACAAAAAGGAAAACUUCUCUAAAGCAUCUGUCUCUUGUGUUGGGACACAGGCAAGGGAGAGACCUCUCUAGCCUCCACCCCUUGGUCUAAUGGUCACCAAUUUAUUCUGAAAGUGAAAGUGGAAGUGUUAGUCACUCAGUCGUGUCCGACUCUUUGUGACCCCAUGGACUGCAGCUCACCAGGCUCCUCUGUCCAUGGAUUCUCCAGGCAAGAACACUGGAGUGGGUUGCCAUGCCCUCCUCCAGGGGAUCUUCCUGACCCAGGGAUCAAACCUGGGUCUCCCACGUUGCAGGCAGAUUCUUUACAGUCUGAGCCACCAAUUUAUUCUGAAGUGCAAGCUUAAUUGUUCUCCCCUCUGCAUUUGUGUAGUCAUCAUUUUGAGGCAGGGCCCAGUGCUGAUAGAAGAGCUCAGUGUCCAGGCAGAUCCAGUUUUGACUUGGUCCUCAGCUUGCUUGGUGGCCUGAAGCAAGUUACUGCACCUCUCUGAGCCUCAGUUUCACUGAAGCAGGUGGAUGGGAUCGGUAGUUCUGCUCACCCUCCCAGAGUCAGUGCCUCCUUUCAUAAUAUGUAUUCUGGCCAUUCUGAAAUGAAGUUCAAAAUUAGUAUGAUUAUAGGCAUAUAUGCUUUUAAACAGUGGAUACAGUACUCAAGCUGUAAUAUAAACAGAAAAAAGGGAAAUUUUUAAUAAAACAAUGUAUUUCAAUAAAUGUAUUUUAAUAAUGUAUUUUAAUAAAAGAAUGUAUUUCAACGAAAAGGCUUGGGUAUAAUGAUCCUAGAAGGUACAGUGAAGUCAUCAGACACUUGCACCUGUAUGUAGAAUUACCAGCUACAAAUGCAGAUCAGUGUUCGUUGUAUUGGUGACGUCAGAAACACUGAUGCCAGGGGUUUUCUGAAAUGGUGAACAACUCUUAGUGAAGUUUUGAAUAAUAACUUACGGCAGUGCCUUGAUUUGCAUAGUAAAUACAUGCCUGGCAAAGCUGGUGUAUAUUAAAACCAUAAAUCAAUUACUUUGUGUUAUGGGCUAAAAGGUCUUUUCUAAAAUCUCACUAAGUAAUGAGAAUGCCUACAUAUCAGAAUUUUUUUUUAGGACUGAAAUGUGGGAAUGCACCUGGUUGGGAAAAAUGUUGUAUGUACUCAGUUUAUUUGCUCUGUAUCAUGUCAGGCCGCUUGCCAUUUCCCAAGUCUUUGAUUUGAACUGUAACUGCACGGGGCCUGACAGUUAGUCUAGAAUAAUUUGUGGAAAGGGUCCAAAAACAGAAGGCGGCUGACCUAUACUCAUUUCAUCAAGGCAUGCACCUUAACCUUGGUGACUUUGAAAAAUGAUAAACUUUUAUUGUAACCUGGGUAAAUGUUAGUUAUUGUAUUAUCAGUUUAACCUCUAAUAAUAAAAUCAAGAAAAAAUUCUUCUGUACCUAUAAGUUAUUUGCAAUGAUAUGCUCCCUUGCAGAUUCCUUCAUCU